Molecule: ribosomal RNA, 548 nt
Filed under: Glomeromycota sp.
Lineage: Eukaryota; Fungi; Glomeromycota
Also listed under: 1 other name
Description: SSU rRNA
Rfam family: Eukaryotic small subunit ribosomal RNA
Source: RNAcentral
UUGGAGGGCAAGUCUGGUGCCAGCAGCCGCGGUAAUUCCAGCUCCAAUAGCGUAUAUUAAAGUUGUUGCAGUUAAAAAGCUCGUAGUUGAAUUUCGGGAUCAAUAUGUCGGUCGUGCUUCGGUACGUACUGGUAUCAUUGGUUUCUCCUUUCUGACGAACCAUGAUGUCAUUAAUUUGGUGUUAUGGGGAGUUAGGACUGUUACUUUGAAAAAAUUAGAGUGUUUAAAGCAGGCUUUAGCUUGAAUACAUUAGCAUGGAAUAAUGAAAUAGGACGUUCGAACCUAUUUUGUUGGUUUCUAGGAUCAACGUAAUGAUUAAUAGGGAUAGUUGGGGGCAUUAGUAUUCAAUUGUCAGAGGUGAAAUUCUUGGAUUUAUUGAAGACUAACUACUGCGAAAGCAUUUGCCAAGGAUGUUUUCAUUAAUCAAGAACGAAAGUUAGGGGAUCGAAGACGAUCAGAUACCGUCGUAGUCUUAACCAUAAACUAUGCCGACUAGGGAUCGGAUGAUGUUAAUUUUUUAAUGACUCAUUCGGCGCCUUACGGGAAAC